GAACUUCUAGUGUGUAAAAGUGUGAGACAACACAUUUCUGUUGUUUAAGACACACAAUCUGUGGUACUUUGAUACAGCAGCCCUGACAAACUAAUACAUGGGGUGUCUCAUUGUAGUUUUAAUCAGUAACACCCAUUAUGAACUGAAAACGUCUGCUACUUUUAAGAUCCAACUUGAAUGCUUCCUGAUUAAAUAUAUACAGGAGUGAUUUCAGAGGAAUUUAAGUUUUGGAUCAUUCUUUUGAGAAAGAAAGAAAAGUACCCUUUUAAAAGAGACUUUCUUCUGCCACUGCCACUCCUGAGACAACAUGACCAAUCUCUCCCCUUCCUCCUCCUCAGCGUACUUUCAACAUAAAGACGACGAGGAUAAAGGCAUUUAUGAUGAACUACUUCCACAUAAUGAAUAAUUGAACAAAGGAGAGAAUUGUGAGAGUGAGAAAAAGUGAGACAAAGAAGAAAAACUAUAAAUCAGCAAAAUACAGUGCCAAGAGCUCUGGACCACAAAUCAGAAGACCUGAGCCCUAAUUCCUUUCCAGUCAUUGGAUUUGUUCGUCGCUUGCCAAAAUAGCAGCGAACUCUCUGUCAAACU
This 588-nucleotide long non-coding RNA is filed under the name Homo sapiens (human). RNAcentral's name for it is "PPFIA2 antisense RNA 1". The record is from RNAcentral. Lineage: Eukaryota; Metazoa; Chordata; Mammalia; Primates; Hominidae.